AUCAAUCACUGUUGCUUGUCAGAAAACUCUGAAAAUAUUAUUGAGUACAUCUACCAUGAGCUAUGCUUGCCAUUUUAAAAGAUGUUUAUGUGAGCUUCAUGUCAUAUCAAUUUUUUUUGAAGCAAGCAGAUCUUGCGAUUUACUUAUGAUUUAUGAACAUAAAAUGUUUACUGUGUAACCCCUAAAUACAGUAGAAGAGAUUAGAGAAGCAGGUCUUAUAAAACUACGCUGAGACGAGUAGUACUUAUUUAGUCAAGUGACAUGUUAGAUAAAAUUCUACACCUAUUACAACUUAUCUGACUUCUGUAUUUUGUAAAGAUAGCUGAACUAGAUUGUGUUCCAGGAAUAAAAAACCAUGGAUGUUUUCCAUUUAUUCACUUGGCUUUUGGAAUUUGAUUGAUGUCCCCUUUCUCAUAUUAUUAACAACAUAUACCUACACGGUUCUCUCUACUGGUUUGCCAAAUUCUAGACACUUCUUGUGUGGUCCAUGCUUCCUCUUUGUACUAUGCUUACCUACAUUCGUAAUAUCACUCCUUUAUUCCCUUGACGUGCUUUUCCUUUACAAAGAAGAAUACACACCAUGGGGAAAAGAGAAGUAAAUUUGUAUUUGUAGUCUACAAACAGGGCGUCCUAAUUAUUUGUUCGAGCAUGCUACAGUCUUGUUUUCUCUGCCGUGUCUUCUCCUUUUCUUAGUAGUGUCACUACUGAUUGAUCUGCUCAGAUGUGCUAUUUAGAGUUUGAUCUGGAUAUAUACUAGCUAUUUUAUUAGGAGUUGGUGGUAAAGAUGAACUAAUGGUCGAUCCUCCCUGCUGUCCUCGCUGCACUUCAUGCAAAAUCAUUAGGCCGGUACUGGGAGUACCUCAUUUAUGAUGGAUCUUAUACUUCAAAGCUUAUUUAUAUUGUCUAAUAUGUUUUAUUUGUACUAAUUCAGUAAAUUUAAUUUAUCUUUUGGCUUAAUAUGUCCAAGGUAUUGAUAUAGUAAUAUUUUGUUACCUGAUUAAAGCUCAAACAUACUGCUUCAGUAUCUCCCAGUAGGUGCCUCAGAAUUAUGCAGUUGAUCGUACCAUACUGCUACUUGAAUAAAAAUGUUUAUCUUUGUGUUCUACACUGAAGCUAUCAUAUGAAGUUUAAUUAUUUUAAGCGUUCAUCACCAAAACUACUUUGUUGGUAGUGAAAGGCUUCAUAGAAUUUCAUAGAUGUUGCACAUCAUGAGAUUAACCCGUAGAAGAAUGUAUUCAUAACCAUAUGACGUGUGUGAUGUUGGGUUAUAGCCGUUGUAUGCUGAAAGGCUUUUUCCCUUGCUUCCUUCCAUUUUCUUCUAUGUGCAUUGACUAGACGUAUGUUUUUACAAUGUGGCAUGGUUUGAGCAUUUUAAAUUCUUUACACGCUUCCAUUAUUUCCCGCCCCAUUUAUAUUGGUAUGUCCUUUAAAUAGCAGGCAGGUACAUGUGUGAUGGCACAAUAUAACUCAGUGUUAGCUGGCUUAUAAUCUCUUAUCCCUUGAAAGACUUCAAAGAUGGCAUCUCAUGGGACAACACAAGAGACCAUAUAGUAAAGGAAAAGAUGCAAACACGAUAGGCAGGACCAAAAGUAUUUUUAAUGAGCCUGAAAAAUCAUAACGGAGACCGGUAUUGCUACAAUUGUAAGUUGUGAUCCUAAAUCUGAGCUUGAUGGUGCUGAAAUUACUAAUGAAUUGUAGGUAGUGCAUGUCGAUAUGGCACUUGUGAAAACUAAAUAUUUGGUAUGGAGUCGCAAAAACUGUAAUACUCUUGGUAAUGCAGAAUUUUUUUGCAUGGCAACCUUUAUUCAAAAGAUAAAUGGAUGAUUAUAUGGGUGUGUGGGCAAGCAUACUACUAUGAUGACGAUGAUGUUCGUGUUCAUGAUGAUGGAGACGGAUGCUUUCAGUUUUAGUAAAGUUGUAGGGAUGAUGUUCCUCAAUUAUGUUUUAGUUAAUCUGUAGGGAUGUUGAUGCAUGCUUUCAAUUUAAGUUUCACCAUCAAGAGAACAUUUAUAUUAUACAUCCCAUUUGGAUGAUUUUCCUCAUGUAAUGUCUACCAUUGUAAUCAAACAGUUUUAACUAAUAUAUGAUUUCU
Triticum aestivum (bread wheat) is the source of this 2092-nucleotide long non-coding RNA. RefSeq lists it as uncharacterized. The transcript is spliced from 3 exons. The record is from RefSeq and is a predicted model, not a curated record. Lineage: Eukaryota; Viridiplantae; Streptophyta; Magnoliopsida; Poales; Poaceae.